Molecule: non-coding RNA, 109 nt
Organism: Cordylochernes scorpioides
Lineage: Eukaryota; Metazoa; Arthropoda; Arachnida; Pseudoscorpiones; Chernetidae
Source: the annotation of a GenBank genome assembly
ACGGUCAUACCAGAUUGAAAACACUGGUUCUCGUCCGAUCACCGAAGUUAAGCAAUGUCGAUCAGUACUUGGGAGGGUGACCACCUGGGAACACCAGGUACUGUAAGCU